This is a long non-coding RNA of Homo sapiens (human), 2998 nucleotides long. Ensembl annotates it as GOT1 divergent transcript. Its record names the gene GOT1-DT. Lineage: Eukaryota; Metazoa; Chordata; Mammalia; Primates; Hominidae. The record is from Ensembl.
GUUUCCCCCUGAGGGAAGUAUACCUGUCCUGCCAGCCUUGGUCUCUGGCAGGGAAGGUCCUUCCAACAGAGAGGGAAUUGCUUAGAAUUGACUCAACACUGCCUCCUUGCUGAAUGGAUAAUUCAAGCAAACAACUCAAGAGCUGGAUGCUGCCCAGACAGGUAGGCAGCCAGAUAAAGUGAGUGUCCAGGGAAAGAGCAGUAAGGGUCAGAAGAGAAAGAGCCUGGUGUUCUCACUGCCUCCUGCCUUCCUUAUGACUGUCUGUUCAGAAGUCCUCCUAGCAUCUUUCUUCUGCCUUCCCCUGCUCCUGUCCCUGAAACCUUUUCUUCAAAAGAAGUGGAAAAGAGGAACUGGGAACCCAUAUAGCAACAGCAUCACCUGGAAUGAAUUCCUUUAGAACAUACUGUCUUGGAAAUCUGAAGCCUGCAGGGCUGGACAGGCAAGAAGAGCAGUGAGCACUGCAUGAACCUGCAUGUACUCCGAAAUAUUUUUCAAAUGGAAAAGAAAACAGAGAACACAAUUUUCAAAAUAUCUAGAGCCCUCCAAGAAGUCUUUGUAGAGAUCUAUAAAAUCUCAAGGCAAUUUAAAGAAUAGAAAAAUGUUUUAGAAACACUAUUCUCUCCACAUCCUGGGGCAGCAGCCUUCUCCAAAGAAACAGAAAGAAGGAAAUGGAUUGCCUUAGCAAAAAAACAAAUGAAGACACUCCAAAUAACAGAAGAAUGGGAAGGCUACAGACCUUGAAGUCAGAAGAAAAUUUCCUCUCCUUGCCCCGUUUCUCCUUAAAUGGAUCACCAGUACAGUCUCUUACUUCUAGAGCCAUGUUAAGCUUUCUUCCCCAAAGUUGUAAUGUCCUUCUUUUGGUUGUGUCGUGUCCUAAAAUCCUACUCUUUGGUACAAGAUGAAGGUAUAUGAAGAGAUAAUGAAGGAAACAAAUUCAAUGUGUUUGCCAAGAACACAGUCUUUUAAAUAACUCUUAAAGGGUUCGUUUAAAACAGUGUAAUAAAUUGUGGUAAUCUAGUACACAAAGCUAGUAGGAACCUCGUUUAUUAAUAAUAUUUCAACAUUGAGCAGUAGAGGGCAGCACUAUCCUUCUUUUGCAAAAUGUUGAGCACUCUUGAGAAGGAAAAUAAAGGCAAAGCUCCUGACCCCUGUGUCUGUGUUUACUUUUACCAUUAAAAAAAAACAAAAAAUUGGAGUAUUUUUAUUAUGGUUUAGGUGAUUAUGUAUAAAGAAUGUCAGAGCCUGCAUUACCUGGAAGUGGUGCACCAGGUAAUGCAAAAAACACGGAAGGUUUGAGGUCCCCCACUCAGGAUAUGGGUUCUGUCUAGUAAAGAUAAACAGUAGCUUGACCCUGGGUAAUCAGAUAGGGUUAUUGUAUGAACAGACCUAAUGCUCCUGCACGUUCUGGAUAGAAGUCAAUCUACUGAAAUAGCAGGAUGUAGUUUUAAAAAAUGUGUGUAACUCAUAUAGUCUUAGCCCUGAUAAGUGCUUCUAAAUUCUUAUUCACUGCCUUUAUUCUGCUGUGUUAGUGUUGCUCUCUGUCAUACGUGGGUCAGGUCAGAACUAGCUCAAAUACAGUAUGUGUAUUAUGACUUUAAGGAGUGGUGUCAGACAAGAUGGGUAAAGAAUGUCUUUCAUGGGACUGCAGUUGGCUAAAUGGCUGUGUAUAAGUAGUGAAAUUGAAGCCUUGUAUGCUCGUCGUCAUUCUAUCACAGUAUGAUUUGAGUUUCCCUAACCGGUAAACAGCAAGAAAAAAUGAUCUGUUAUUUUUUACUAAAGUUACUUGAUGCUCUUUAGCAAGCUGACAGAAUAAUUCUAAUUUUAGCAAAUACAAAACCAUGGUAAUCCUAGCACAUUUGGAUUCUGUUUAACCCUGAAAACUCUUUUGGCAGCAAAUCUUCAAUGCCAAUUUAGAUAAAUCCCACUAGGAAUAAGCACUGAAAGACGUUGAGUCUAGUUCCCAGCUCUGCCAUGUGAAGUUGGGCAAAUUACAGUCUCUGAGCUUUUAUUUCAUCUGUUAAAUGGAGAUAAUACCUCCUAGAUUUAUUAAAAGGGUCAAUUUAGAAAAUAUGUAUUAAAAUGGUUUGAAAGCCAUUUAAGUACCUAAUGAAUAUUUCUAUCACUGUAGCCCAAAAAGAUUCCUGCCUAGAAGACUUUAUGUCUCUUCUCCUCAUUUGGUAUCAUUCUAUUGCCUGAGAUUGUUAAUUAACUUUUAUGUAUACUCAAUAUUUUCUCCCAACUUGGUUGCUAGUUCCUUGAGAACUGAAACCAUCAAUUGCACUUCUUGGUAUCCUCCACAAUAAGGUAUCUAGGUACUCAAAUAUUUGUUGGUUGAUUAAAAACAUAAACCACAAGACAUAAUUAACUCUUUUUAAAAUUGUGGUAAAAAAACAUGUAUUUACCAUCUUAAUCAUUUUUAAGUAUACUGUAUAUUAGUGUUUACUAUAUGCACAUUGUUGUGCAACACAUCUCUAGGACUUUUUCAUCCAGAAUUCUUUUUUUUUGAGACAGAGUCUUGCUGUGUCGCCCAAGCUGGAGUUCAGUGGCACCAUCCUGGCUCACUGCAACUGCUGCCUCCCAGGUUCAAGUGAUUCUCCUGCCUCAGCCUCCCGAGUAGCUGGGAUUACAUGUGCCUGCCACCACGCCUGGCAAGUUUUUGUAUUUUUAGUAGAAAUGGUGUUUUACCAUGUUGGCCAAGACUGGCCUAGAACUCCAGACCUCAAGUGAUCCACCCGCCUCAGCAGCCCAAAGUGGUGGGAUUACAGGCAUGAGCAACUGUGCCUGGCCUAGCCAUUUUCUAUAAACCUGAAAAUAGAUGCCAGAAAAGAAGGUGCCGCUAUAAAAUGCUUUCUUGAGUGAUUUAUGUCUAACAUACAAUUAAACAUUUAUGAGAAGGAAAUUAUCAGGUUAAAAUAUAAACUCACUUGCCAAUUAUUUGAUUUUCAGGAUAUCUGACUUUUGUUAAUUACUGAAAAUAAAGUAUUAUUUCUAAUCACUA